CGCGCCUAACACACGCAAGUCGAACGAGCGAGAGAGAGCUUGCUUUCUCGAGCGAGUGGCAAACGGGUGAGUAACACGUGAGGAACCUGCCUCUGACAGGGGGACAAGAAUUGGAAACGACUGCUAAUACCACAUAAGCCCGCCGUGCCGCAUGGCACAGAUGGAAUAAGAACAGUCCUCUUUGAGAUGGACUCGCAUCCGAUUACCUAGUUGGUGAGGUAACGGCCCACCCAGGCGACCAUCGGUAGCCGGACUGACAGGUUGAACGGCCACCUUGGUACUGACACACAGCCCAGACUCCUACCGGAGGCAGCAGUGGGGAAUAUUGCUCUAUGGGGGAAACCCUGAUGCAACGACGCCGCGUGGAGGAAGAAUGACUUCCGAUUGUAAACUCCUGUUGUUGAAGAAGAUAAUGACGGUACUCAAUCAAGAAGUGACGGCUAACUACUUGCCAUCAGGCUCGGUAAAACUUAGGUCCCAAGCGUUGUCCAGAAUUACUGAUUGUAAAGGGAUCGCAAGUUGUAAGACUAGUUGGAAGUGAAAUCCAUGGGCUCAACCCAUGAACUGCUUUCGCAACUGUUUUUCUUGAUUAGUGCAGAGGUAGGCAGAAUUCCCGGUGUAUCGAUGGAAUGCGUAUUAUAUCGGGAGGAACAGCAGUGGUGAAGGCGGCAUAGCAGGCACCAACUGACGAUGAGGCUCGAAAGUGUGAGUAGCAAACAGGAUUAGAUACCUUGAUAGUCCACACUGUAACCGAUGAUUAGUAGGUGUUGGAGGAUUGACCCUUUCAGUGCCGCAGUUAACACAAUAAGUAAUCCACUUGGGGAGUAGGACCGCAAGGUUGAAACUCAAAGGAAUUGACGGGGGGCCGCACAAGCAGUGGAGUAUGUGGUUUAAUUUGACGCAACGAGAAGAGCCUUACCAAGUCUUGACAUCCCUUGAAGAUGAUGGAAACAGUAAUUCUUUUGGGAGCAAGGAGACAGGUGGUGCAUGGUUGUUGUCAGUUAGUGUCGUGAGAUGUUGGUUUAAGUCACGCAACGGGCGCAACCAUUAUGGUCAGUUAGUACGCAAGAGGAUUCUGGCCAGAUGUCCGUAGGCAAAACGGAGGAAGGUGGGGAAGACGUCAAAUCAUCAUACCUUAUAUGACUCGGGAUACACACGUAUUCCAAUGGGGUUAAACAAAGAGAAGCAAGACCGGGAGGCGGAGCAAAAGUCAGAAAUAACGUCCCAGUUUGGAAUGCAGGAUGCAAGUCGCCUGCACGAAUUCGGAAAUGUUAGUAAUCGCAGAUUAGCAUGUUACGCUGAAUACGUUGCCGGGCUUUGUACACACCGCCCGUCACACCAUGAGAGCCGGGGGGACCGGAAGUCCGUAGUGUAACCACAAGGAGGAAGCCGCCGAAGGUAAAACUGGUGAUUGGGGUGAAGUCAUAAC
Molecule: ribosomal RNA, 1429 nt
Filed under: uncultured organism
Description: 16S ribosomal RNA
Rfam family: Bacterial small subunit ribosomal RNA
Source: RNAcentral